GCACACCGACUAUUGCGAAAUCUUUCAGUGUUAAGAACACUUGUUUAUUUGUUGUGUAACUUUGAGAUCUUAAGUGCGGCUAUAUGGCGACAUGCAGAUGUACCAGUGCGGCUCCGCACUCAGCGCCCAUUCUUGUCUGGUCCGAUCGUGGGGAGUAUGAUUCCAAAGCCUCCUCCAUCCAAAUGGGACGACGCUGAGAAAUGGAUCGUAAGCCCUGGUCGCAGCGAGAACCCGGCGAAGCCUCACUACCGGUCGUUGCAAAGCCUUUUGACAAGUAAGCAUAGUCUCUUAGAGGAUGGUCUGGUGACAUGCUUCACAAGCAUAUCUAACAGUAAGAUAUGAUAAUGAAUGAAAUGCAAAUAGAAAAUGAAAUCAAGAAAUGUACCUCCUUUGUGCCUUCGCAUGUGAAGAUUUAUGUUAUGUUGUUGACAGUCGUAUUUUGAUUGUAGCAGGCAGAAGACAUUCAAUUACAAUCGGGCAGAGUUUACGCUCAAAGCAUGGAACGGGUAGUCCCGACUCUGCAGGCCCUACA
Molecule: long non-coding RNA, 532 nt
Filed under: Physcomitrium patens
Lineage: Eukaryota; Viridiplantae; Streptophyta; Bryopsida; Funariales; Funariaceae
Description: long non-coding RNA (PPAT_LNC009602)
Source: RNAcentral